This 467-nucleotide ribosomal RNA is filed under the name uncultured Alphaproteobacteria bacterium. Its description in RNAcentral is "bacterial SSU rRNA". It matches the Rfam family "Bacterial small subunit ribosomal RNA", at positions 9 to 521 of the family's 1533-position model. The record is from RNAcentral. Lineage: Bacteria; Pseudomonadati; Pseudomonadota; Alphaproteobacteria.
GAGUUUGAUCCUGGCUCAGAGCGAACGCUGGCGGCAGGCCUAAUACAUGCAAGUCGAACGCACCUUCGGGUGAGUGGCGGACGGGUGAGUAACGCGUGGGAACGUGCCCUUUGGUACGGAACAACUGAGGGAAACUUCAGCUAAUACCGUAUGUGCCCUUCGGGGGAAAGAUUUAUCGCCAUUGGAGCGGCCCGCGUUGGAUUAGCUAGUUGGUAGGGUAAUGGCCUACCAAGGCUACGAUCCAUAGCUGGUCUGAGAGGAUGAUCAGCCACACUGGGACUGAGACACGGCCCAGACUCCUACGGGAGGCAGCAGUAGGGAAUCUUGCGCAAUGGGCGAAAAGCCUGACGCAGCCAUGCCGCGUGUAUGAUGAAAGGUCUUAGGAUUGUAAAAUACUUUCACCGGGGAAGAUAAUGACGGUACCCGGAAGAAGAAGCCCCGGCUAACUUCGUGCCAGCAGCCGCCGC